Long non-coding RNA from Diachasma alloeum, 597 nucleotides. RefSeq lists it as uncharacterized. Lineage: Eukaryota; Metazoa; Arthropoda; Insecta; Hymenoptera; Braconidae. The transcript is spliced from 2 exons. The record is from RefSeq and is a predicted model, not a curated record.
GGGGGAAACGACGAGAAGCCAGAAAUAACGAAUAAUAACUCCGAAAGAAAUUCUACCCAGAUUUAUCUAAAUCUUCGGAAAAAAUUGUAAAAAUCCGUAUCGUGCUGUGAUAAAUUAUCCUUGGAGUUGAUUUCCACAAUUAAAUCAUAAUUUCUCACGUGUAAGAGAGACAAUAAAUGAGCUACUCCAAUUCGAUGAAAAUAUGUUGCUUGAUAGCAGGACUAUAUUUUCAACAGCAGGCCUCUUGAAGAAUCCACGUCGGAAACGUCACGUCUUGCAACAAUAUGGGAUGAUUGUGGGGAUCAAAUGUCUCCACGCUGCCUAUUAACAGGUAUCUAUGCUUCGAAAAAAUUCGAUGUUUCUGCUAUGAUGUGACAAAUGUAUACAAUUUCUAUGAGAUACGAGCUUACAGUAGCGUAAGUAUCCUGAAUCUUUGACGCUGCUGUAUCUUCUAUCCUUUUAGUUAUGAGCUUUUGAAGAACAAUGAUAACGAUAUUAUUGAAACUAAAAUCUUUAUAGAUCAGACUUUUAAACUUUUUCAAUAUAAUACAUUAUGUGAAUUGUGGAAUGUGCAUGAAAAUAAAGCCAUGAACUCAA